This 522-nucleotide ribosomal RNA is filed under the name Clostridioides difficile. RNAcentral's name for it is "bacterial LSU rRNA". It matches the Rfam family "Bacterial large subunit ribosomal RNA", at positions 1 to 525 of the family's 2925-position model. The record is from RNAcentral. Lineage: Bacteria; Bacillati; Bacillota; Clostridia; Peptostreptococcales; Peptostreptococcaceae.
UGGUCAAGUUAUUAAGGGUGCAGGGCGGAUGCCUUGGCACUAGGAGCCGAUGAAGGACGUGAUAAGCUGCGAUAAGCUUCGGGGAGUUGCACGUAAACUUUGAUCCGAAGAUUUCCGAAUGAGGAAACUCACUUAGAGUAAUGUCUAAGUAUCAUUAAGUGAAUACAUAGCUUAAUGAGGGGAACUCAGGGAACUGAAACAUCUAAGUACCUGAAGGAAGAGAAAGAAAUUCGAUUCCGUAAGUAGCGGCGAGCGAACGCGGAUUAGCCCAAACCAAUAAAGUUUUCUUUAUUGGGGUUGCGGACAUAUCAUAACGAAGAGGUAUCGUAAUUGAAGAGGUUUGGAAAGACCCACCACAGAAGGUAAUAGUCCUGUAUGUUAAACGAGAAGACUUUAGAUAUGAUCCAGAGUACCACGGGACACGUGAAACCCUGUGGGAAGCAGGAGGGACCACCCUCCAAGGCUAAAUACUACCUAGUGACCGAUAGCGUAUAGUACCGUGAGGGAAAGGUGAAAAGAACC